AUUGAACGCUGGCGGAAUGCUUUACACAUGCAAGUCGAACGGUAGAGGGGGCAACCCCUUGAGAGUGGCGAACGGGUGAGUAAUAUAUCGGAACGUGCCCAGUCGUGGGGAUAACGUAGCGAAAGUUACGCUAAUACCGCAUACGAUCUAAGGAUGAAAGCGGGGGAUCGCAAGACCUCGCGCGAUUGGAGCGGCCGAUAUCAGAUUAGGUAGUUGGUGAGGUAAAGGCUCACCAAGCCAACGAUCUGUAGCUGGUCUGAGAGGACGACCAGCCACACUGGAACUGAGACACGGUCCAGACUCCUACGGGAGGCAGCAGUGGGGAAUUUUUGGACAAUGGACGCAAGUCUGAUCCAGCCAUUCCGCGUGCAGGAUGAAGGCCCUCGGGUUGUAACUGCCUUUGUACGGAACGAAAGGUCUUGUUACUUAACGUAGUAAGUAGGACGUCCUACUAGUACGGUAACC
This 465-nucleotide ribosomal RNA is filed under the name uncultured bacterium. RNAcentral's name for it is "bacterial SSU rRNA". It matches the Rfam family "Bacterial small subunit ribosomal RNA", at positions 30 to 525 of the family's 1533-position model. The record is from RNAcentral.